Long non-coding RNA from Dermochelys coriacea (leatherback sea turtle), 721 nucleotides. RefSeq lists it as uncharacterized. The record is from RefSeq and is a predicted model, not a curated record. The transcript has 3 exons. Lineage: Eukaryota; Metazoa; Chordata; Testudines; Dermochelyidae.
AAUAACCAUGACUACGAGAACUUUGAUAACGUCAAUAAAACAGUAACUUGACACCCUGACAGCAAACCAUGUGAUUUCAAAGAACAAGCUCAACUGUGGUCAGGCAACAAGCAGUGAUAUGGUUGGCUGCCGUGAAAGGCCUUACAGAAGACAAGUGUUUGCUGUUCCUUUAAAUGUACUCGAGAGGAAGAUCAAAGACCAUAUGAAGUUCAAAGGUUGUCUCGGAGGUCUCAGAUGCUAUAUUUGGGGUCCAGGAUGGCUGGGUGGUGGUGCCCAGGCCCCAGAGAAUGGUGUAAGACAAGAGUUUGGAGCCCUAUAAACCCAGAGCUAGAAGUGAUACUAGACUCUACCCAGACCCAGCUGGAAGCACGAGGGACCCAGCAAACGGGUCCACUCACAACAGACUGAUGACUGUACAGUGUGGGACUGGGCCAGGAUGUAACAACCAGUAACGUGACACAAAUCUUCUCUGUACAGUUCAGGGUUCGCUCUAAAUUUUGGUUCCUCAACUUCAUGGUUAAAAUAGGCAAGCUCCAUUUCAUUUUGAAUACACUGAUUGCACGUUAAGUUGCUAUGCAUUACUUAAUUAAAAUUGUUUCAUACAUAAAUGAUUUUCAAAGUAUUUUAAAUACAGUGAAACCUCAGAGUUGUGAACACCUUGGGAAUGGAGGUUGUUCAGAACUCUGAACAAAACGUUAUGGUGGUUCUUUCAAAAGUUUAC